AGGGAUAGUUAUUGAAAUUUACCCUUUAAAAUGGAUGUCUUUUACAGACAUUGCUUGUGGAUUUUACUAAUGUCUCUUUAGUCAUUGGGCGUAUCAUGUGUGAACUUUUGGUUACUGUUUUGGUUUGUUCAUUUUCUAAUUGGGUGGCCUUUUUCCUCCUCUCCUUUGAUGUUGGAGUCUUUUCUCUCAAUGCAAAAUAUGGUAAAACUCAAUCAUGUUUUAAAUUUAGGAAAGCUUCUGGAUGUUAACUGUUAUAACUUUUGGGUAUAUCAUGUGUCAGCACUUCAAUCUUCUGUAAUGGUCUUGUUCCAUUCCCUAGUCUUUGUUGAUGGAGAUGUGAAAGAUUAUAAAACUCUAAAGCAACUUCUUGUUCUUGGUGGGGGUGGGGGUGGGGGUUGGGGUUGGGUACAAGUUCAACCCAACCUAUUGCUCUACCUGCAAGUUUACCAUGGGAGGCAACCCAAUUGGUUCAAGACAACUAAUUCAGUCCUGAACUAAUCAGGAUUAACUACGCGGAUCCUUGUCCAUCUAGCAGACUAUCUACAAGCUAUUGUAAUAAUCAUUUUCAUGAACAUGAAAACUAACAAUGGUCAAAACCGAGCAUAUUUCUAGAUUGUAAUACAAUAAAGCCAUAUAAAAAUUUUCACAUAUUCCAUCAUAUACGCUGGCUAGCUUAUUUAUACACAUCUUGUCUCUUGAAUUAAUAAUUUCUGGUUUCCAUUAUUCAGAAAGGCCAGUUAUGUAUUCAUCAGCAUGGGGUCAGUUCAGACUUCCUCAUCAGUUUAUGUCUCCAGCAAAUAGUGGUGGACCUGGUUCACAGAUGGACUUCCUGAGUGAACUUCGCCGUGCAAUUCACGACUCCAGUGCCAAUCCCAACAAGUAACAGUCUCGGAUCCCUAAUCAAGGACGAAUGCUGUCUGAAUCUGAGACUGGUGCUCAGGAGUCAGGAUUACCUGUUCUAUUGUGUUAAUGAAAACCCAGAAUCUGCUAAUCUGUUGGAGAAGAAAAAAAGCGAGAGAAAAAGUGUCUGCUACUUAAAUAUAGUCUUGUGAUUUAUGUUAUAGAGGUUGUUCUGCGUGCAAACAAAAAUCAAUCUCUUAUGUUGUAUUUUAUUGAAGUAAUUAAAUUAUUACCUAUAUCCAGGGAGAAUGUCAUGCAAGUGCACAUCAUGCAAGAAUGGUAAAUUCACUAUUCAUGCAGUAUGUGACGAAAAGAUUUUAGGUCUUUUCCUUAAUAAGCAUUAUGUUAUAUCAUAAUCAUUGAGCAAAGAAACGAUGGAUGAUUAGGUUAUAUAAUUUUUGGAAUGAAUUUGAAUGGCUAUGAUUCUUUCCACACUGGAAUGAUUCAUUGAGCGGCCAAACGCUUUUCCACCCAGAAAACAACGUGUUUUGCCGUGAUUUUCUUCUCAUCAACCAGAAAAGGUUCGACAGUGCUUGCUCCCGAGCCAUAGGAGGAUAGAGAAAACCCUUUUGGACCUGUUAGGUUUCCACUGGGGAAGAAUGCCCAAAAUGAGUAAGGGUUGCCCUUCUUUUUAAAGUAUCCAUCCAACUGUUAUUUUUAAUGCAAAAAGGAAAUGAGAAACUUUGGUUGAUUUGGUGACAUGGUGAGGAGCAAGUCAAUAAUCAGUAGUGACAAAAUCACAAGACUUACUCUGUUGUCUUGGAAAGAUAACUCAAGUUCAGUGAUAUCUUGUUCAGCUUCAAGAAUCGCUUUUAAUGAAGGAAUCACAUCUUCUUCCAUCAACUGAGGGAGUGCUUUGGCAGGAGCCUUUCCUGCAGAUUUAGGCUUUGCUGGUGCCGUCUCUUCAACUUUCUUCACCUUCUUCUCUUCAACUGUGGAAGUAGAUGAUUCUUGCACAGCAGAACAGGUGAUACUUCUUCUUGAGGUUGCUGACUUGCUAGCAAUCUGCUGCUCACAUUUAUAGAUGAUGCAGAUUAUUUAGCAAGGAAAAAAAAUUCAAAAAAAACCUCCAAAUUCUAUGUAAAAAGGGGGGAAAAAAUCUAAUUGAAUAAACUUAGCUUUGAUUCCAACUUGAACAUAACUAACUCUUAUCAGUGUUCUUUAUCUGCAUCACUGACAUUCAUUUCAACAAUCCAAACCCAACCCCAGAUGGAUAAUUCAAGAAUUAUUUGGCUAACAUAUACACAACAGGAUUUUUCCAAUAUUUGAGCAGCUAAAUUCAAAAGAAAAAACACAUAAUAAAUGUUUUGCGUGUAAUUAAUGAUGGAAAAAAUAUUUACAUACCAAAGAGAGGGUUGAGCAGGUGGUUCUGCCAUUCCUGCAAAAACAUGAAGGUGUUGAAGGGAAGCUCGAAACUCCCAUAGCUCCACCUCGAGUUGCCAUGUUAUUAAAUAUUGAGUUCAUUCAAGAAAGAUUUUGAUAACAACUUAUAACUUUUUCCAAAUUAUUUUUCUUUUUCAAUAACCAAUCAUUUUUCUAUUUUCUAAAUUCUUUGCAAUUAUAUAUACAUGUAUACAAUAUGAGAAGAAAAUCAGGGAGAGAGAGCUGAUGAACUCAGAAUGAAAGAGAAGCACUCAAGAGGAGAGAGAUAGUACUCUG
Molecule: unclassified non-coding RNA, 2559 nt
Filed under: Hevea brasiliensis (rubber tree)
Lineage: Eukaryota; Viridiplantae; Streptophyta; Magnoliopsida; Malpighiales; Euphorbiaceae
Source: RNAcentral